This 497-nucleotide ribosomal RNA is filed under the name uncultured bacterium. Its description in RNAcentral is "partial 16S ribosomal RNA". It matches the Rfam family "Bacterial small subunit ribosomal RNA", at positions 28 to 507 of the family's 1533-position model. The record is from RNAcentral.
GAUGAACGCUGGCGGCGUGCCUAAUACAUGCAAGUCGAGCGAACAGACGAGGAGCUUGCUCCUCUGACAUUAGCGGCUGACGGGUGAGUAACACGUGGAUAACCUACCUAUAAGACUGGGAUAACUUCGGGAAACCGGAGCUAAUACCGGAUAAUAUAUUGAACCGCAUGAUUCAAUAGUGAAAGACGGUUUUGCUGUCACUUAUAGAUGGAUCCGCGCCGCAUUAGCUAGUGGGUAAGGUAACGGCUGACCAAGGCAACGAUGCGUAGCCGACCUGAGAGGGUGAUCGGCCACACUGGAACUGAGACACGGUCCAGACUCCUACGGGAGGCAGCAGUAGGGAAUCUUCCGCAAUGGGCGAAAGCUUGACGGAGCAACGCCGCGUGAGUGAUGAAGGUCUUCGGAUCGUAAAACUCUGUUAUUAGGGAAGAACAAAUGUGUAAGUAACUAUGCACGUCUUGACGGUACCUAAUCAGAAAGCCACGGCUAACUACGUG